Molecule: unclassified non-coding RNA, 404 nt
Filed under: Dermacentor andersoni
Lineage: Eukaryota; Metazoa; Arthropoda; Arachnida; Ixodida; Ixodidae
Description: uncharacterized LOC126537808
Source: RNAcentral
UGUUUCACUAGGUGCAGUGGCCAAAGAGCAGAAGUUCGACCCGCACAUCGAACACAAAAUUGAUAUAAUGUUGGAUCUGGCUCCCAGCCCCGAAGAAGCAGUGCAAGACACUGGAUACAACGGAACUGGCAUCUCCGGUAACCCACUGUCCAAGGCAUUUGCGGCGAUACAAAUAAGGUGCGGUAAUUGCCUGUGCAAACUUCUUGUGAUGAUAGACCAAUAUGGAGAACAAAUGGGCUGCACUCAAGCGGUGAAAAAAUUAUUUUGUUUUUGCCCACCCUCAAGCUGCUAUAUGAACGAAGUUACGAAGUGUCUAGAAAAGUGGGCCACCGGAAAGUGCAAGUAUGAAAGCCUGUUGUUCACUUGCCCCUGAUUUCGCAAUAAAGGCCUCGUUAUCAAACUCC